GAUGAACGCUGGCGGCGUGCCUAAUACAUGCAAGUCGAGCGAACAGAUAAGGAGCUUGCUCCUUUGACGUUAGCGGCGGACGGUUGAGUAACACGUGGGUAACCUACCUAUAAGACUGGGAUAACUUCGGGAAACCGGAGCUAAUACCGGAUAAUAUUUCGAACCGCAUGGUUCGAUAGUGAAAGAUGGUUUUGCUAUCACUUAUAGAUGGACCCGCGCCGUAUUAGCUAGUUGGUAAGGUAACGGCUUACCAAGGCGACGAUACGUAGCCGACCUGAGAGGGUGAUCGGCCACACUGGAACUGAGACACGGUCCAGACUCCUACGGGAGGCAGCAGUAGGGAAUCUUCCGCAAUGGGCGAAAGCCUGACGGAGCAACGCCGCGUGAGUGAUGAAGGUCUUCGGAUCGUAAAACUCUGUUAUUAGGGAAGAACAUACGUGUAAGUAACUGUGCACGUCUUGACGGUACCUAAUCAGAAAGCCACGGCUAACUACGUG
This 497-nucleotide ribosomal RNA is filed under the name uncultured bacterium. Its description in RNAcentral is "partial 16S ribosomal RNA". It matches the Rfam family "Bacterial small subunit ribosomal RNA", at positions 28 to 507 of the family's 1533-position model. The record is from RNAcentral.